RNAcentral lists this unclassified non-coding RNA (506 nucleotides) under Pseudomonas fluorescens. RNAcentral's name for it is "partial 16S-23S ribosomal RNA intergenic spacer". Lineage: Bacteria; Pseudomonadati; Pseudomonadota; Gammaproteobacteria; Pseudomonadales; Pseudomonadaceae. The record is from RNAcentral.
GCCUCGCUGACCGCAUCCCACGCUCCGGCGCUACCACGCACGCCCGCCACCCCCACCUCGCCAUGACAGCGCGUCGCACGCGUACCGCGCCACGCUCCCAGCACAUCAUCCGCACCCACCCACACCCCACCCCAACUCCGCUCCGCGAUCGUCGCCUCGCCGCUGGAUCCCGCAUCACCGCGGGCCCAUACGCUUCAGCCUCGGGCAGCAGCCCCCUGCCUCUCAGCACCGCAGGCAGCGGUCAGGCAGUCCCGCAUCCCUCCCUUGAGCUCCCACCCCUCCUACAAACAAAUCCGUCGAAAAGCUCAGCAAAUGAAUGUUCGUGAAUGACCCUUGAUUUCUGGUCUUUGCACCAAACUGUUCUCUACAAUUCGGGUAUGUGAUAAAGUAAACUGAAUGAUCUCUUCACCGGUGAUCAUCCCGUCAAGGUCAAUUCGCCAUUACACCGCCACUCCCGGCGAAUGUCAUCUUCCCAUAUACCCCAUUGCUGGGGUUAUUUUGGUAAA